This 253-nucleotide ribosomal RNA is filed under the name uncultured bacterium. RNAcentral's name for it is "partial 16S ribosomal RNA". It matches the Rfam family "Bacterial small subunit ribosomal RNA", at positions 524 to 776 of the family's 1533-position model. The record is from RNAcentral.
UACAGAGGGGGCAAGCGUUGUUCGGAAUUACUGGGCGUAAAGGGCGCGUAGGUGGCCUUCUAAGUUGAACGUGAAAUCCCUGGGCUCAACCCAGGAACUGCGUCCAAGACUGGGAGGCUUGAAUCCGGGAGAGGGAUGCGGAAUUCCAGGUGUAGCGGUGAAAUGCGUAGAUAUCUGGAGGAACACCGGUGGCGAAGGCGGCAUCCUGGACCGGUAUUGACACUGAGGUGCGAAAGCCAGGGGAGCAAACGGG